CCUACGGGCGGCAGCAGUCGAGAAUCAUUCACAAUGGGGGAAACCCUGAUGGUGCGACGCCGCGUGGGGGAAUGAAGGUCUUCGGAUUGUAAACCCCUGUCAUGUGGGAGCAAAUUAAAAAGAUAGUACCACACGAGGAAGAGACGGCUAACUCUGUGCCAGCAGCCGCGGUAAUACAGAGGUCUCAAGCGUUGUUCGGAAUCACUGGGCGUAAAGCGUGCGUAGGCUGUUUCGUAAGUCGUGUGUGAAAGGCGCGGGCUCAACCCGCGGACGGCACAUGAUACUGCGAGACUAGAGUAAUGGAGGGGGAACCGGAAUUCUCGGUGUAGCAGUGAAAUGCGUAGAUAUCGAGAGGAACACUCGUGGCGAAGGCGGGUUCCUGGACAUUAACUGACGCUGAGGCACGAAGGCCAGGGGAGCGAAAGGGAUUAGAUACCCUAGUAGUC
Molecule: ribosomal RNA, 446 nt
Filed under: uncultured bacterium
Lineage: Bacteria
Description: partial 16S ribosomal RNA
Rfam family: Bacterial small subunit ribosomal RNA
Source: RNAcentral